Girardinichthys multiradiatus is the source of this 272-nucleotide long non-coding RNA. RefSeq lists it as uncharacterized. Lineage: Eukaryota; Metazoa; Chordata; Actinopteri; Cyprinodontiformes; Goodeidae. The transcript has 3 exons. The record is from RefSeq and is a predicted model, not a curated record.
GGAAGAACGAAGGAAGUUAGGAAGGAAGAAAGAAACAGAAAGAACGAAAAGGAGAAAUCUGCACAGAAGGACGUCAGAACCACUCCGACCUAAAAUCGAGCAUAUUCAACAUGUUGGACUGUCUUGGCCUGAUAUCCUACCGUGUGGGGUGCUCACCAAGGACAAACGAGCACACAGCCUGUUGAAUGUGACAUGUGGCCAAUCAGAAAGCUGAGGGCCGUGGCGGAGCUGGUGCCUAUCUCCAGCAGUCUGAGCGAGAGGCAGGGUACACC